GACGAACGCUGGCGGCGUGCCUAAUACAUGCAAGUUGAGCGAUGAAGAUUGGUGCUUGCACCAAUUUGAAGAGCAGCGAACGGGUGAGUAACGCGUGGGGAAUCUGCCUUUGAGCGGGGGACAACAUUUGGAAACGAAUGCUAAUACCGCAUAACAACUUUAAACAUAAGUUUUAAGUUUGAAAGAUGCAAUUGCAUCACUCAAAGAUGAUCCCGCGUUGUAUUAGCUAGUUGGUGAGGUAAAGGCUCACCAAGGCGAUGAUACAUAGCCGACCUGAGAGGGUGGCCGGCCACAUUGAGCAUGAGACAAGGCCCACACUCACACAGGAGGCAGCAGUAGAGAAUCUUCGGAAAUGGACGAAAGUCUGCCCGAAGAACGCCGCGAGAGUGGAGAAGGUUUUCGGAUCGUAAAGCUCGGUUGGUAGAGAAGAACGAUGGUGAGGGUGGAAAGCUCAUCAAGUGACGGUAACUAAACAGAAAGGGACGGCUAACUACGUG
This 497-nucleotide ribosomal RNA is filed under the name uncultured bacterium. Its description in RNAcentral is "partial 16S ribosomal RNA". It matches the Rfam family "Bacterial small subunit ribosomal RNA", at positions 28 to 507 of the family's 1533-position model. The record is from RNAcentral.